UACGUAGGUGGCAAGCGUUGUCCGGAAUUAUUGGGCGUAAAGCGCGCGCAGGUGGUUUCUUAAGUCUGAUGUGAAAGCCCCGGGCUCAACCUGGGAAUGGCGAUGGAUACUGGCUCGCUAGAGUGCGGUAGAGGAGAGUGGAAUUCCCGGUGUAGCAGUGAAAUGCGUAGAGAUCGGGAGGAACAUCAGUUGCGAAGGCGGCUCUCUGGACCAGCACUGACACUGAGGCACGAAAGCGUGGGGAGCAAACAGG
This 253-nucleotide ribosomal RNA is filed under the name uncultured bacterium. RNAcentral describes it as "partial 16S ribosomal RNA". It matches the Rfam family "Bacterial small subunit ribosomal RNA", at positions 524 to 776 of the family's 1533-position model. The record is from RNAcentral.